This 468-nucleotide ribosomal RNA is filed under the name uncultured bacterium. RNAcentral describes it as "partial 16S ribosomal RNA". It matches the Rfam family "Bacterial small subunit ribosomal RNA", at positions 28 to 507 of the family's 1533-position model. The record is from RNAcentral.
GACGAACGCUGGCGGCGUGCUUAACACAUGCAAGUCGAACGGAAAGGCCCUGCUUUUGUGGGGUGCUCGAGUGGCGAACGGGUGAGUAACACGUGAGUAACCUGCCCUUGACUUUGGGAUAAAUUCAGGAAACUGGGGCUAAUACCGGAUAGGAGCUCCUGAUGCAUGGUGGGGGUUGGAAAGUUUCGGCGGUUGGGGAUGGACUGGCGGCUUAUCAGCUUGUUGGUGGGGUAGUGGCUUACCAAGGCUUUGACGGGUAGCCGGCCUGAGAGGGUGACCGGCCACAUGGGUACUGAGAGACGGCCCAGACUCCUACGGGAGGCAGCAGUGGGGAAUAUGGCACAAUGGGCGGAAGCCUGAUGCAGCAACGCCGCGUGCGGGAUGACGGCCUUCGGGUUGUAAACCGCUUUCGCCUGUGACGAAGCGGGAGUGACGGUAAUUGGUAAAGAAGCACCGGCUAACUACGUG